This is a long non-coding RNA of Canis lupus familiaris (dog), 404 nucleotides long. RefSeq lists it as uncharacterized. The transcript is spliced from 2 exons. NCBI's taxonomy places the organism in Eukaryota, Metazoa, Chordata, Mammalia, Carnivora, Canidae. The record is from RefSeq and is a predicted model, not a curated record.
GACGCGCCGGGGCUGGACCCCGCUGCGCCCCCGGGCAGGGCCGGGACGGGAAGGAGCCUCGGCCCGGGAGUCUGGAGACGCGGCUCCCCGGCGUCGGCCCUGAGCCCCGUUCCCCAGGCCCUGCCUCCAGCCUUGCUCUUCGCAGCGCACGUCCCCGGGGGGCGCGGGCGCGGCGCGGUGCGGAGAAGGCCCGCAGGUGCGUUGGGAAGCCGGCGAUGACCAGGGAGUCGGCUGCGCUGGGCAGAAUUCUAAAGGGGUUUAAAAUCAGAAGGACGGGCUUUGAAUACAGAAAGUGGGUGACUAUGAAGGUCAACGACGAGGCUGGGGGUGGGGGAGAACAGGAACCCCUGUUACCUUCCUAUUGCUGCUGGAACAAAUUACCAUAAAUAUAGUGACUUAAUACA